Molecule: long non-coding RNA, 738 nt
Filed under: Mytilus galloprovincialis (Mediterranean mussel)
Lineage: Eukaryota; Metazoa; Mollusca; Bivalvia; Mytilida; Mytilidae
Source: RNAcentral
GUUGCGGUAACAUCUGUCGCUAGUGCUGUGGCUCAGGCUAGGGAUGUGUUCGACCUGGAAGACCAGGAGGUCGUGCUCACCUACCUGGGAGCGGAGCUGACCAGCUCAGUAAGGAUGGAGUUGUUGCCAGCCAUGGCAGAACUCACAGUAACACACAAAUGAACCAUAUGGAUAACGUGAAUGUAAUUCUGGACUCUUUUUGGUUUUGGCUUAGCCUCCGCUUCCUGUCUGGAAGCUGUACUCCCCAGGAUUUGAAAACCAGGCCAGUGUAUAAAUUGUAAAAUAGUAGAUUAGUGUUGGACAUUUUUACAUAUCGCCAUAUUGAAGAACGGUAUUGGUGUAUACAUUGUUUUUAUGGUCAUGGUUUUCACUUUUUGUUCCAUGCUGGAACUGGUGCUUAAUUUGUAAGGGGGAUUUAGUAGAAUAGCAGGUAGUUUAGAUUAAUUGGAAAUUCAAGGGGAGCUUAAUGAACUGACAGAAAUAGAGAUCUUUGUAAAUUUUUUGAUUAUUUGUAGUAGAUUUAGUUUUUGUGUAUUUUAGAGAUAUGUGAUUCAGAAUUAGGACAAUUCUGAGUUGUGGCUCCGAGUAACGGAUGUGGAAAAUUUUUUUUUAUUGUCUUAGGCAAAUAGUUCAGUGAUUUAUUUUUUUUUUAAAUGCCAUGUUUUUAGGGAAAAGAUAAAAUUUAGAUAGAGACCCAAUAGCCAGGGAACAGGGGGGUGGAUUUUAGAAAUAACCCAU